RNAcentral lists this ribosomal RNA (484 nucleotides) under uncultured bacterium. RNAcentral describes it as "partial 16S ribosomal RNA". It matches the Rfam family "Bacterial small subunit ribosomal RNA", at positions 29 to 507 of the family's 1533-position model. The record is from RNAcentral.
AUUGAACGCUGGCGGCAUGCUUUACACAUGCAAGUCGAACGGCAGCGCGGGCUUCGGCCUGGCGGCGAGUGGCGAACGGGUGAGUAAUGCAUCGGAACGUGCCCAGUAGUGGGGGAUAGCCCGGCGAAAGCCGGAUUAAUACCGCAUACGACCUGAGGGUGAAAGCGGGGGACCGAAAGGCCUCGCGCCAUUGGAGCGGCCGAUGUCGGAUUAGCUAGUUGGUGGGGUAAAGGCUUACCAAGGCGACGAUCCGUAGCUGGUCUGAGAGGACGACCAGCCACACUGGGACUGAGACACGGCCCAGACUCCUACGGGAGGCAGCAGUGGGGAAUUUUGGACAAAGGGGGCAACCCUGAUCCAGCCAUGCCGCGUGCGGGAAGAAGGCCUUCGGGUUGUAAACCGCUUUUGUUCGGGAAGAAAUCCUCUGGGCUAAUACCCCGGGGGGAUGACGGUACCGGAAGAAUAAGCACCGGCUAACUACGUG